CCCCCCACCCUCGCCGCCGUCGCCGCCCUGGCCCGGGGGGGGGAGCAGCAGCUCCAGGCCCUGGAGGUGCUGGCGGCGCUGGGCCCCGCCCAGGUGGGGGAGGGGCUGCUGGAGGCGCUGCAGCUCGGGCUGCGAUUGGCCGAGAGCGGCGACAGCGACGCCACGCGGGUCACGUGAGUGCUGGCAUUCCCGAAAUUCCCAAAAUCCCAAAUCUCCAAAAUUCCCAAAAUUCCCAAAAAAAAUCCCCAAAAAUGCCCAAAAUUCCCAAAAUUCCCCCAAAUCUCCGCCCACUCAUCUUAAGCCCCGCCCACUUCCCCCCUAAGCCCCGCCCACUGCCCUGAGCCCGCCCCUGUCAAUCACAGCCCAAGCCACGCCCACGCCGCCCCAAGCCACGCCCCCCGCCUUUUGCCACGCCCCCGCCUUUUGCCACGCCCACACCGCCUUUGGCCACGCCCACUUUGGGCUUCUGGCCGCUCCCAGUUCAUCCCAGUAACCCCAAGGCCCAAACCAGUAACGUCCCAGUAACUCCCAGUUUGAUCCCAGUUCAUCCCAGUUCAUCCCAGUAUAAACCAAUUACCUCCGAGUAACUCCCAGUUCCCUCCCAGUCCCUCCCAGUAUAAACCAGUUUCCUCCCAGUUCCCUCCCAGUCCCUCCCAGUUCCUCCCAG
This 667-nucleotide long non-coding RNA is filed under the name Lonchura striata (white-rumped munia). RNAcentral's name for it is "domestica (Bengalese finch) lncRNA (ENSLSDG00000008170.1)". Lineage: Eukaryota; Metazoa; Chordata; Aves; Passeriformes; Estrildidae. The record is from RNAcentral.